This 311-nucleotide ribosomal RNA is filed under the name uncultured bacterium. Its description in RNAcentral is "bacterial SSU rRNA". It matches the Rfam family "Bacterial small subunit ribosomal RNA", at positions 28 to 334 of the family's 1533-position model. The record is from RNAcentral.
GACGAACGCUGGCGGCGCGCCUAACACAUGCAAGUCGAACGAGCGAGAGAGAGCUUGCUUUCUCGAGCGAGUGGCGAACGGGUGAGUAACGCGUGAGGAACCUGCCUCAAAGAGGGGGACAACAGUUGGAAACGACUGCUAAUACCGCAUAAGCCCACGACCCGGCAUCGGGUUGAGGGAAAAGGAGCAAUCCGCUUUGAGAUGGACCCGCGUCUGAUUAGCUAGUUGGUAAGGUAACGGCUUACCAAGGCGACGAUCAGUAGCCGACCUGAGAGGGUGACCGGCCACAUUGGGACUGAGACACGGCCCAA